This 672-nucleotide ribosomal RNA is filed under the name uncultured bacterium. RNAcentral describes it as "bacterial SSU rRNA". It matches the Rfam family "Bacterial small subunit ribosomal RNA", at positions 168 to 857 of the family's 1533-position model. The record is from RNAcentral.
ACCGCAUAAGCGCACGGUUCCGCAUGGAACAGUGUGAAAAACUCCGGUGGUAUACGAUGGAUCCGCGUCUGAUUAGCCAGUUGGCGGGGUAACGGCCCACCAAAGCGACGAUCAGUAGCCGGCCUGAGAGGGUGAACGGCCACAUUGGGACUGAGACACGGCCCAAACUCCUACGGGAGGCAGCAGUGGGGAAUAUUGCACAAUGGGGGAAACCCUGAUGCAGCGACGCCGCGUGAGUGAAGAAGUAUCUCGGUACGUAAAGCUCUAUCAGCAGGGAAGAAAAUGACGGUACCUGACUAAGAAGCCCCGGCUAACUACGUGCCAGCAGCCGCGGUAAUACGUAGGGGGCAAGCGUUAUCCGGAUUUACUGGGUGUAAAGGGAGCGUAGACGGCAGCGCAAGUCUGGAGUGAAAUGCCGGGGCCCAACCCCGGAACUGCUUUGGAAACUGUGCAGCUCGAGUGCAGGAGAGGUAAGCGGAAUUCCUAGUGUAGCGGUGAAAUGCGUAGAUAUUAGGAGGAACACCAGUGGCGAAGGCGGCUUACUGGACUGUAACUGACGUUGAGGCUCGAAAGCGUGGGGAGCAAACAGGAUUAGAUACCCUGGUAGUCCACGCCGUAAACGAUGAUUACUAGGUGUCGGGGGGCCAAGGCCCUCCGGUGCCGCCGCAAACG